GACGAACGCUGGCGGCGUGCUUAACACAUGCAAGUCGAACGGUGAAGCGCCUUCCUUUUUGGUGGGUGUGGAUGAGUGGCGAACGGGUGAGUAACACGUGAGUAACCUGCCCCCUUCUUCUAGAUAACCGCAUGAAAGUGUGGCUAAUACGGGAUAUUCUGGGUCUGUCGCAUGAUGGGUCUGGGAAAGAUAUUGUUUCGGUGGGGGAUGGGCUCGCGGCCUAUCAGCUUGUUGGUGGGGUGAUGGCCUACCAAGGCGGUGACGGGUAGCCGGCCUGAGAGGGUGGACGGUCACACUGGGACUGAGACACGGCCCAGACUCCUACGGGAGGCAGCAGUGGGGAAUAUUGCACAAUGGGCGCAAGCCUGAUGCAGCGACGCCGCGUGAGGGAUGGAGGCCUUCGGGUUGUGAACCUCUUUCGCCAGUGAAGCAGGCCUGCCUCGUUUGUGGGUGGGUUGACGGUAGCUGGAUAAGAAGCGCCGGCUAACUACGUG
Molecule: ribosomal RNA, 494 nt
Filed under: uncultured bacterium
Lineage: Bacteria
Description: partial 16S ribosomal RNA
Rfam family: Bacterial small subunit ribosomal RNA
Source: RNAcentral